AAGACAAUAUUGAUUUCACACGUUAUUUCGUUGGAGUACAGGCCAUGUUUAUAGAUUAUAUUGUGAAUGUUGUGUAAUUUCGUUAUAAUCUCUUUUAAUAUCUUCAUUUUCCUUUUAGUGUGCAUUUUAAAAACAAGUGAAGUGUCUUUAAAAAGCGUGAAUAUCUUCGAACUGUAAAUUUUCAUUUGCAUACGUAAAUUGAGCGAACUUCUUAUAUUCUAACCUUUUAAAUUAGUGACUCAAAUAAAUCGUGCGACAGUUUACCUGUACAAUUCAAAACGUAUCAGAAUGAAAGUCACAAUAAAAAGCUGGACAGGUGUCGCCACCUGGCGUUGGAUAGCUAACGAUGAUAACUGCGGAAUUUGUCGGAUGCCUUUCGAUGCGAGUUGCCCGGACUGCAAAAUACCGGGAGAUGAUUGUCCUUUAGUUUGGGGGCAGUGCUCGCAUUGUUUCCAUAUUCAUUGCAUCAUGAAGUGGCUGCAUUCUCAGCAAACCAGUCAUCUGUGCCCUAUGUGUCGUCAGGAAUGGAAGUUCAAAGAGUAAAUGUUUUCCCGAUGUUCCCGCAGGUGUCAGCACGCACCAAAUAAUCAGGAAAGAAAGAACAAAUUUGCGAUAGAAUUUUUUUUCUUUCCGUAAUAUCGUCUCGGUAUAAACCGUGUGAGUUUAGAAAGUAUCUCGUAAUUUGGCCUUCUUCGUUGGAAUUAAUCAGGAGAUAGAAUUUUCCUUAACUUCUUGGAAAGCGUACCACGAAUCGAAGGAAAGAAAAGAAAAAAGAAGGGAAAAAAAGGAAGAGAGAAGUAGCUACGGCGUUCGUUCGAUUUAAGAAUUCAACGAUUAUCGUGCCGUUCACAUCUAUGGCUUCGGUUGCCGACUACGAAAGUUGUUUACGCUCACAUUACGCGUCACACACAUCGGCCGAUAAGCCGAACGAGAUAACGUGUAGAUGAGGGAAUACGUAUUCGACGACGUCGACGACGACGACGACACACGUGACCUAUAAUACGAGCGUCUGAUUUGCGUGCUUUGCACGUGUGUUGUACAAGCGACUUUUCUUGUCAGUAAUGGAGGAAAUGAUUUCUUUAAAGUGUCAUGAUACUAAUUACUUCUAUUGUAUUCUCUAACCUUGUUAAAUCUAGGAAGUUCGAUAAGAUAAUGUAAUUGAACAUUAUGGAGAAACAUGUAUGUACAUAAAUCGAUAAAUCAAUUAAAUUGAGAACAAAAUGUCGAAUAUGACAAUAACGAUUAAGAAAUGUUCGUGCGUUUAUUAGAUAAAAAAAAGAAACAAGGAAAAAAGAGGAGAAAAAAAAAAAAAAAAAACCGAAAAAAAAAAAAAAAACAAAAAAAGGGAAACAUUGUAAUUCAAUCAUCAUCACUAAGUCGUGUUGUAAUCGUUCGUGCAAUGCAUUGUUCCGAGAUGCGAUAAAAUAUUCUUUUAAGUAAGACGUGUGUUAAUUCUUUCGUACGUUUUCAAGGUCAAAUCGAUUUAUAUCCCUUAUAUAUAUGCAUAUCGUUUUGAACAAAUUGGGUUGCGUUACGAAUGAAAUAUGAUCGUGCUUCGUAAUCAUCUGACAAGUUUAAACAAAUCUCAAAGUCAAUUAAAAGAGAGAAUUAUGAAGAAAGUCCAAGAAUGUAUCAUAGAAAGUCGUAUAGCCAAGCGAAGGCAAGGACAAGUGACUAAUCAGAAAAUAUUAUCGAAGAAGAACCUAUUUCAGUUUUUUAUGCUUCAUAAAAAACAAACGAAAAAAAAAAAAACAAAAAAGAGAAAAACCCAUUGGGCCCAAGAGACAACAUAUACAGCACUGAAACGGCGGUUGGCAGGUCGGCGUGAUAGAGGUGGAGGAGGAGGAAACAGGGGACACCUAAUGGGUCCCUUCCCUUAUCUCCUCUCUUCGUUCCUUCGUCUUCCUUCUACUUUCCAUCUCUCUCUCUCUCUCUCUCUCUCUCUCUCUCUCUCUCUCUCUCUCUCUCUCUCUCUCUCUCUCUCUCAUUUGAUAGGACGGCAACGAUGCCGAGAGCUUGACGUUACACCUACAACCGUGUACCAAGCAUGAGAAACAUAGCUGAUGUAUCUGUUCUCUCUUCUCUUUGUAGGUAAAAGGAAAGAGAGAGAGAGAGAGAGAGAGAGAGAGAGAGAGAGAGAGAGAGAGAGAGAGAGAGAGAGAAAGAAAGAGAAAUAUACACAUACAC
Molecule: RNA transcript, 2187 nt
Organism: Vespa velutina
Lineage: Eukaryota; Metazoa; Arthropoda; Insecta; Hymenoptera; Vespidae
Gene: lmgA
Gene name: anaphase-promoting complex subunit 11
Exons: 5
Source: RefSeq, a predicted model, not a curated record